AACAGCCAUUGAAGUAUAUCAUCAUUAACCCUGAUUCUAGAGAUAAAAAACUAAGUAUUUAACUGUACUUUGUGAAUUUCAUGGACUCUUAUUCUCUCACUGUCUAAAUGUGCUGUUAAAGGAACCCAGAGAUAUAAAAG
Long non-coding RNA from Myotis myotis, 140 nucleotides. RefSeq lists it as uncharacterized. The transcript is spliced from 3 exons. NCBI's taxonomy places the organism in Eukaryota, Metazoa, Chordata, Mammalia, Chiroptera, Vespertilionidae. The record is from RefSeq and is a predicted model, not a curated record.